UUUACAGGCUUAACACAUGCAAGUCGAGGGGCAGCAUGGUCUUAGCUUGCUAAGACUGAUGGCGACCGGCGCACGGGUGAGUAACACGUAUCCAACCUGCCGUCUACUCUUGGACAGCCUUCUGAAAGGAAGAUUAAUACAAGAUGGCAUCAUGAGUCCGCAUGUUCACAUGAUUAAAGGUAUUCCGGUAGACGAUGGGGAUGCGUUCCAUUAGAUAGUAGGCGGGGUAACGGCCCACCUAGUCUUCGAUGGAUAGGGGUUCUGAGAGGAAGGUCCCCCACAUUGGAACUGAGACACGGUCCAAACUCCUACGGGAGGCAGCAGUGAGGAAUAUUGGUCAAUGGGCGAGAGCCUGAACCAGCCAAGUAGCGUGAAGGAUGACUGCCCUAUGGGUUGUAAACUUCUUUUAUAAAGGAAUAAAGUCGGGUAUGCAUACCCGUUUGCAUGUACUUUAUGAAUAAGGAUCGGCUAACUCCGUGCCAGCAGCCGCGGUAAUACGGAGGAUCCGAGCGUUAUCCGGAUUUAUUGGGUUUAAAGGGAGCGUAGAUGGAUGUUUAAGUCAGUUGUGAAAGUUUGCGGCUCAACCGUAAAAUUGCAGUUGAUACUGGAUAUCUUGAGUGCAGUUGAGGCAGGCGGAAUUCGUGGUGUAGCGGUGAAAUGCUUAGAUAUCACGAAGAACUCCGAUUGCGAAGGCAGCCUGCUAAGCUGCAACUGACAUUGAGGCUCGAAAGUGUGGGUAUCAAACAGGAUUAGAUACCCUGGUAGUCCACACGGUAAACGAUGAAUACUCGCUGUUUGCGAUAUACUGCAAGCGGCCAAGCGAAAGCGUUAAGUAUUCCACCUGGGGAGUACGCCGGCAACGGUGAAACUCAAAGGAAUUGACGGGGGCCCGCACAAGCGGAGGAACAUGUGGUUUAAUUCGAUGAUACGCGAGGAACCUUACCCGGGCUUAAAUUGCAGAUGAAUUACGGUGAAAGCCGUAAGCCGCAAGGCAUCUGUGAAGGUGCUGCAUGGUUGUCGUCAGCUCGUGCCGUGAGGUGUCGGCUUAAGUGCCAUAACGAGCGCAACCCUUGUUGUCAGUUACUAACAGGUUCCGCUGAGGACUCUGACAAGACUGCCAUCGUAAGAUGUGAGGAAGGUGGGGAUGACGUCAAAUCAGCACGGCCCUUACGUCCGGGGCUACACACGUGUUACAAUGGAGGGUACAGAGGGCCGCUACCACGCGAGUGGAUGCCAAUCCCCAAAACCUCUCUCAGUUCGGACUGGAGUCUGCAACCCGACUCCACGAAGCUGGAUUCGCUAGUAAUCGCGCAUCAGCCACGGCGCGGUGAAUACGUUCCCGGGCCUUGUACACACCGCCCGUCAAGCCAUGGGAGCCGGGGGUACCUGAAGUGCGUAACCGCGAGGAGCGCCCUAGGGUAAAACUGGUGACUG
RNAcentral lists this ribosomal RNA (1434 nucleotides) under uncultured organism. RNAcentral describes it as "SSU rRNA". It matches the Rfam family "Bacterial small subunit ribosomal RNA". The record is from RNAcentral.